This 379-nucleotide ribosomal RNA is filed under the name uncultured cyanobacterium. RNAcentral describes it as "bacterial SSU rRNA". It matches the Rfam family "Bacterial small subunit ribosomal RNA", at positions 376 to 770 of the family's 1533-position model. The record is from RNAcentral. Lineage: Bacteria; Bacillati; Cyanobacteriota.
CGAAAGCCUGACGGAGCAACGCCGCGUGAGGGAUGAAGGCCUCUGGGCUGUAAACCUCUUUUCUCAAGGAAGAAGAUCUGACGGUACUUGAGGAAUAAGCCACGGCUAAUUCCGUGCCAGCAGCCGCGGUAAUACGGGAGUGGCAAGCGUAAUCCGGAAUGAUUGGGCGUAAAGCGUCCGCAGGCGGCCUUGUAAGUCUGUCGUUAAAGCGUGGAGCUUAACUCCAUUUCAGCGAUGGAAACUACAAGGCUUGAGUGUGGUAGGGGCAGAGGGAAUUCCCGGUGUAGCGGUGAAAUGCGUAGAUAUCGGGAAGAACACCAGUGGCGAAGGCGCGUUACUGGGCCGAAACUGACACUGAGGGACGAAAGCUAGGGUAGCG